This 353-nucleotide long non-coding RNA is filed under the name Hordeum vulgare. Its description in RNAcentral is "long non-coding RNA (HVUL_LNC014907)". The record is from RNAcentral. Lineage: Eukaryota; Viridiplantae; Streptophyta; Magnoliopsida; Poales; Poaceae.
CUGUAGGGAAAACCCCCCACAGCCAUUUUCUGUAUUGCAACUAUGAAAACUGUAUGUACAAGAGAGGUUGUAGAAUGUACAGAGGGGGGAGGAGCAGAGGGAUACAGACCUCAAGGAGGCAAAAAGGAAAUCCACUUAAGGAGAUCAUCCCUGAAACUAGCCUUAAUUCUAUGAGCUAACAAAGAAAUGUCAUGAAUAAAUCCAGCUCUCCAUUUCCUGAACUUUGGUUGUUCCUGGUUGAAGACCUUUGCAUUUCUGGUAGUCCAGAUAUUCCAACAGGCAGUGAAAACAACCUCAGCAAAGAAUGGAUGAGGGAAGUUCUUUCUAGCUGCAGCAGUAGCAGUCCACAUAGA